GCUCCAGUGGCCCAGUGGUAAUGCUCUGGUCUGCUGUGCGGGCGACCCAGGCUCGAAUCCCGCCAUCAGCG
Gymnothorax javanicus (giant moray) is the source of this 71-nucleotide non-coding RNA. The record is from the annotation of a GenBank genome assembly. Lineage: Eukaryota; Metazoa; Chordata; Actinopteri; Anguilliformes; Muraenidae.